CCUACGGGUGGCAGCAGUGAGGAAUAUUGGUCAAUGGACGCAAGUCUGAACCAGCCAUGCCGCGUGCAGGAAGACGGCUCUAUGAGUUGUAAACUGCUUUUGUACGAGGGUAAACGCAGAUACGCGUAUCUGUCUGAAAGUAUCGUACGAAUAAGGAUCGGCUAACUCCGUGCCAGCAGCCGCGGUAAUACGGAGGAUUCAAGCGUUAUCCGGAUUUAUUGGGUUUAAAGGGUGCGUAGGCGGUCGGAUAAGUUAGAGGUGAAAUCCCGAGGCUCAACUUCGGAACUGCAUCUGAUACUGGUCGGCUAGAGAGUAGUAGAGGUAGGUAGAAUGUAUGGUGUAGCGGUGAAAUGCUUAGAGAUCAGACAGAACACCGAUUGCGAAGGCAGCUUAC
RNAcentral lists this ribosomal RNA (394 nucleotides) under uncultured bacterium. Its description in RNAcentral is "partial 16S ribosomal RNA". It matches the Rfam family "Bacterial small subunit ribosomal RNA", at positions 338 to 729 of the family's 1533-position model. The record is from RNAcentral.